GGGGUUGGAAGGGGCGUCCCGAGCCGAGCUGAGCCCAGCGGGUCCUUAGAGCCCGCCCCGUCCAGCGGGUUCGGCCGGGCCGGGCUGCGAGAGAGCGGGAAAGGGGGCGCUGAUUUAAAUGUGUGCCGAGGAUUGGAUGAGCGUGGUGUGAUGUCACUUCCCAAAGGGGGCGAUUACCAUGCGAGGGGAGUAGAAGUUGGGCAGCGGGGCGGGAGCGCGAGAUGCUGCCGGGUCGGUACCGCCACGGGCUCGGCUCGGCUCGGACGUUCCGCCUCCUCCUCGCAGCUCCGCUCCGUCUCCGCUCCGUAUAUUCAUCUUUUAUUUUUUUUCUCUUUUUUUUUCUGUGUCUCCGUGGUUCCCGGUGGCAGAUCCCGACCGUUCUGCCCCGGCUGUGCUCCUUCACCCCAUCGCCCGACUGACGGCAGCCCCCGCCGGAGGGAUGUUUCUGUCUUUGGUUAUCUAGCUGUAUGAGUGUUUUGGUCUUCAUAAAGCUAGAUAACCGAAAGUAAAAAUGACUUCCAGACCUGCACGCCCGGGGGAAGAGGCUGCAGCAGCACCGGCGGCCCCGCGGCCCGCACAGCCCCGCCCGCCGCCCUCCGUCCGUCACCUCGGGGCUCCAGAGCUGACUGCGAGUUCAUGGAGCAGGAUGCCUUGGGAAGGGAUGGGACAUCUCCACCUGAGUGAGGAGAGGUCCCUGGAGCAGAAUGGAGGUGUAAUGCUGAGGAGCUGCAAGAGAGAGCGCAGCUUUGGUCACUUUGGAGUUGGAGAUCUUGAGCCAGGGAUGAGAUCCCAGAGAGAAAAGAGACGUCCCCAGCCCAGCAGCUCCUUCCUGGCUGUGCUCUGCUCACACUGUGCCUGAUAUCUCCAGGAUUCUCCAGGAGGGACCCAACCUGUCACAGCCCCAGCAAGAGGCAGCAUCGGCUGCUGGACGUGGAGGGGUUCUGCAUUGCAUCACACCUGUGGGAGGGAGCCAGGAGAUGGGGAGGCUGACAGAAAUCCCAUGUAACUCCUGUUUAUCACCUCCAGGACCCAAAUACCACUGGGCAGAGAUGUGUGAGCACUGUCCCGGCUGGGUCUGGGGGUGUUGUUGGGAGCGGGAGGGAGGUCUGAGCGGGAUGGAUGCCAUGCUUAGGGACUCUGCUCAUGGAGCAGAGCUUGGCCUACACUGUCCGUGCUGUGUGUGAUGGACUGACCAUGGGCUGACCAUGCCUGAUCCAGGCAGUGUUCCAUUGCACUGUACAAAUAAUGCACUGUAAUUCUCCCCUAUUAAAAUCAACCCCACCCCAUGCACUGUUACAAAUAAACACUCCUUUCUGCAAAAGCCA
This 1325-nucleotide long non-coding RNA is filed under the name Coturnix japonica (Japanese quail). Its description in RNAcentral is "lncRNA (ENSCJPG00005020333.1)". The stretch from base 440 to 515 matches the Rfam family "mir-9/mir-79 microRNA precursor family". The record is from RNAcentral. Lineage: Eukaryota; Metazoa; Chordata; Aves; Galliformes; Phasianidae.